CGCGUCCCCAGCCGGCCGCUCCGAGAGGACCCGGAGGAGGUGGCUUUCUAGAAGAUGACCAUAGAGGACCUUCCAGAUUUUCCAUUAGAAGGAAAUCCUUUGUUUGGAAGAUACCCAUUUAUAUUUUCUGCUUCUGAUACCCCAGUUAUCUUUUCCAUUUCUGCAGCACCAAUGCCUUCAGACUGUGAAUUUUCUUUCUUUGAUCCUAAUGAUGCAUCAUGCCAGGAAAUUCUUUUUGAUCCCAAAACUUCAGUUUCAGAAUUAUUUGCCAUUUUGAGACAGUGGGUUCCUCAGGUCCAACAAAACAUUGACAUUAUUGGAAAUGAGAUUCUUAAGAGAGGUUGCAAUGUGAAUGAUAGAGAUGGAUUGACAGAUAUGACUCUUUUACAUUAUACCUGCAAAUCUGGAGCUCAUGGUAUUGUCUGAUGUGGUGGUGCUGAAGCUACUGGUGGUGAUGGACUCCUUUUUCCCCUCACAACUCAUCAUGAACUGAUACUUUCACAAAAUAAAAUAAAAAUGAAUUUAUAAUACAAAAUAAAAUAAAGCCAUAAAAUAUAAGCCC
This 562-nucleotide long non-coding RNA is filed under the name Homo sapiens (human). Its description in RNAcentral is "long non-coding RNA NONHSAT181493.1". The record is from RNAcentral. Lineage: Eukaryota; Metazoa; Chordata; Mammalia; Primates; Hominidae.